GCCAGCAGCCGCGGUAAUACGGAGGAUCCAAGCGUUAUCCGGAUUUAUUGGGUUUAAAGGGUGCGUAGGCGGACCUUUAAGUCAGUGGUGAAAGUUUGCGGCUCAACCGUAAAAUUGCCAUUGAAACUGAAGGUCUUGAGUGUAAAUAAGGUAGGCGGAAUGUGUUGUGUAGCGGUGAAAUGCUUAGAUAUAACACAGAACACCAAUUGCGAAGGCAGCUUACUGGGAUACAACUGACGCUGAGGCACGAAAGCGUGGGGAUCAAACAGGAUUAGAUACCCUGGUAGUCCACGCAGUAAACGAUGAAUACUAGCUGUAUGCGAUAUACUGUAUGUGGCAAAGCGAAAGCGUUAAGUAUUCCACCUGGGGAGUACGUUCGCAAGAAUGAAACUCAAAGGAAUUGACGGGGGCCCGCACAAGCGGAGAACAUGUGGUUUAAUUCGAUGAUACGCGAGGAACCUUACCCGGGCUUGAAAUGCAGACGACCGACCAGGAAACUGGUCUUCCAGUAAUGGCGUCUGUGUAGGUGCUGCAUGGUUGUCGUCAGCUCGUGCCGUGAGGUGUCGGCUUAAGUGCCAUAACGAGCGCAACCCCUAUCGAUAGUUACUAACAGGUUAAGCUGAGGACUCUAUUGAGACUGCCACCGUAAGGUGUGAGGAAGGUGGGGAUGACGUCAAAUCAGCACGGCCCUUACGUCCGGGGCGACACACGUGUUACAAUGGGGGGUACAGAGGGUUGCUACUGCGCGAGCAGAUGCUAAUCUCUUAAAGCCUCUCUCAGUUCGGAUCGGAGUCUGCAACUCGACUCCGUGAAGCUGGAUUCGCUAGUAAUCGCGCAUCAGCCAUGGCGCGGUGAAUACGUUCCCGGGCCUUGUACACACCGCCCGUCAAGCCAUGGAAGCUGGGGGGACCUGAAGUACGUAACCGCAAGGAGCGUCCUAGGGUAAAACUAGUAACUGGGGCUAAGUCGUAACAAGGUAUCCA
RNAcentral lists this ribosomal RNA (983 nucleotides) under uncultured Bacteroidota bacterium. Its description in RNAcentral is "bacterial SSU rRNA". It matches the Rfam family "Bacterial small subunit ribosomal RNA", at positions 507 to 1502 of the family's 1533-position model. Lineage: Bacteria; Pseudomonadati; Bacteroidota. The record is from RNAcentral.